Molecule: transfer RNA, 74 nt
Filed under: Lysinibacillus sphaericus
Lineage: Bacteria; Bacillati; Bacillota; Bacilli; Caryophanales; Bacillaceae
Also listed under: 4 other names
Description: tRNA-Glu(ttc)
Rfam family: tRNA
About the family: Transfer RNA (tRNA) molecules are approximately 80 nucleotides in length.
Source: RNAcentral
UGGCCCCUUGGUCAAGUGGUUAAGACACCGCCCUUUCACGGCGGUAACACGGGUUCGAAUCCCGUAGGGGUCAU